This 1762-nucleotide ribosomal RNA is filed under the name Salmonella enterica. RNAcentral's name for it is "partial 23S ribosomal RNA". It matches the Rfam family "Bacterial large subunit ribosomal RNA", at positions 1057 to 2802 of the family's 2925-position model. Lineage: Bacteria; Pseudomonadati; Pseudomonadota; Gammaproteobacteria; Enterobacterales; Enterobacteriaceae. RNAcentral also lists the same sequence under 1 other name. The record is from RNAcentral.
GGUUAAGUGGGAAACGAUGUGGGAAGGCCCAGACAGCCAGGAUGUUGGCUUAGAAGCAGCCAUCAUUUAAAGAAAGCGUAAUAGCUCACUGGUCGAGUCGGCCUGCGCGGAAGAUGUAACGGGGCUAAACCAUGCACCGAAGCUGCGGCAGCGACACUGUGUGUUGUUGGGUAGGGGAGCGUUCUGUAAGCCUGUGAAGGUGUGUCGUGAGGCAUGCUGGAGGUAUCAGAAGUGCGAAUGCUGACAUAAGUAACGAUAAAGCGGGUGAAAAGCCCGCUCGCCGGAAGACCAAGGGUUCCUGUCCAACGUUAAUCGGGGCAGGGUGAGUCGACCCCUAAGGCGAGGCCGAAAGGCGUAGUCGAUGGGAAACGGGUUAAUAUUCCCGUACUUGGUGUUACUGCGAAGGGGGGACGGAGAAGGCUAUGUUGGCCGGGCGACGGUUGUCCCGGUUUAAGCGUGUAGGUGUGUGUUCCAGGUAAAUCCGGUUCACUUUAACACUGAGGCGUGACGACGAGGCACUACGGUGCUGAAGCAACAAAUGCCCUGCUUCCAGGAAAAGCCUCUAAGCAUCAGGUAACAUCAAAUCGUACCCCAAACCGACACAGGUGGUCAGGUAGAGAAUACCAAGGCGCUUGAGAGAACUCGGGUGAAGGAACUAGGCAAAAUGGUGCCGUAACUUCGGGAGAAGGCACGCUGACACGUAGGUGAAGUGAUUUACUCAUGGAGCUGAAGUCAGUCGAAGAUACCAGCUGGCUGCAACUGUUUAUUAAAAACACAGCACUGUGCAAACACGAAAGUGGACGUAUACGGUGUGACGCCUGCCCGGUGCCGGAAGGUUAAUUGAUGGGGUCAGCGCAAGCGAAGCUCCUGAUCGAAGCCCCGGUAAACGGCGGCCGUAACUAUAACGGUCCUAAGGUAGCGAAAUUCCUUGUCGGGUAAGUUCCGACCUGCACGAAUGGCGUAAUGAUGGCCAGGCUGUCUCCACCCGAGACUCAGUGAAAUUGAACUCGCUGUGAAGAUGCAGUGUACCCGCGGCAAGACGGAAAGACCCCGUGAACCUUUACUAUAGCUUGACACUGAACAUUGAGCCUUGAUGUGUAGGAUAGGUGGGAGGCUUUGAAGUGUGGACGCCAGUCUGCAUGGAGCCGACCUUGAAAUACCACCCUUUAAUGUUUGAUGUUCUAACGUGGACCCGUUACCCGGGUUGCGGACAGUGUCUGGUGGGUAGUUUGACUGGGGCGGUCUCCUCCUAAAGAGUAACGGAGGAGCACGAAGGUUGGCUAAUCCUGGUCGGACAUCAGGAGGUUAGUGCAAUGGCAUAAGCCAGCUUGACUGCGAGCGUGACGGCGCGAGCAGGUGCGAAAGCAGGUCAUAGUGAUCCGGUGGUUCUGAAUGGAAGGGCCAUCGCUCAACGGAUAAAAGGUACUCCGGGGAUAACAGGCUGAUACCGCCCAAGAGUUCAUAUCGACGGCGGUGUUUGGCACCUCGAUGUCGGCUCAUCACAUCCUGGGGCUGAAGUAGGUCCCAAGGGUAUGGCUGUUCGCCAUUUAAAGUGGUACGCGAGCUGGGUUUAGAACGUCGUGAGACAGUUCGGUCCCUAUCUGCCGUGGGCGCUGGAGAACUGAGGGGGGCUGCUCCUAGUACGAGAGGACCGGAGUGGACGCAUCACUGGUGUUCGGGUUGUCAUGCCAAUGGCACUGCCCGGUAGCUAAAUGCGGAAGAGAUAAGUGCUGAAAGCAUCUAAGCACGAAACUUGCCCCGA